UUUUUCCUUUUCCAUAUUUAUUUUAAAGUUAAAAUUACAAAGACAGCAAGUUUUUCCCGGCACAAAUAACACUUGUUUAAAAAAAGGGGAGUGGGGGGAAUGCGCUAUUUUCCUAUUUUAUUAAAAAUAAGAGAAAGUCAACUGUACAGGUUUUUUUCUCCCAGCUCCCGGGUGUGAAACGUUAGUGCUAGCCCUAGAUAUAUAUAUAUAUUUAUAUAUAUAAAUACACACACAUGCACACAGACCUAGCUCUGUAAAACUACUUAGCAAAUUCAAAAUCGACUGCGGUAUGUCUUAUUGUCCACUCCCCGCCCACUGACCCUCCCCCCAUCUACAACUACUGAGAAAAAACCCAGAAAUAAAGAGGUUGGGAAGUUUUAGGUGGCUGGGGGCGUGGCUGGAGCCCCACCAGACCAAGCAAAGCCACCUCUUGUACAGGAGGAACAAAAAACCAGGGAAGAGAAAAAAGUCCUCCUGGGACACAACCCAUCAAUUGUGUGGAAAAACCUAAACUUCAACAGGACACACUGAGGCACUUGGCUGACUCCCUCAUCCCCCAAAGUUUCCACUCCCGUUUAGCAAGUGACUUUGCUGAAGCCACAAAGACCCUUCAGUGUUUAGUUCCUAGCUGACUGAGGGAAGCUACAGCUCCCCCCUCCCCUUUUCUAAGACAAUCUGGAGGCCACAAGGGCAGACUAGCAGAAGUCAGAAAGAAACGGGUUUUGACCCCCAAUGCUCACCAUUGUGAGGUGGAAAUCAGCCCAGAGACCGUUUUAUCUACCUCCAUCCUUUACUGUCUGGCUGCUGCCACCCCACUUCUCGGCCAAAGGUUCAGAAAUUCUCACAAGGGGUGCCCAAUUUAAAGUUCACUGACCUUAAAAGAUACUCCUACAAACCUUACAACUCCUGGGCUCCCUCUCACCUAG
Molecule: long non-coding RNA, 926 nt
Organism: Galeopterus variegatus (Sunda flying lemur)
Lineage: Eukaryota; Metazoa; Chordata; Mammalia; Dermoptera; Cynocephalidae
Exons: 3
Source: RefSeq, a predicted model, not a curated record